RNAcentral lists this ribosomal RNA (425 nucleotides) under uncultured bacterium. RNAcentral's name for it is "bacterial SSU rRNA". It matches the Rfam family "Bacterial small subunit ribosomal RNA", at positions 356 to 773 of the family's 1533-position model. The record is from RNAcentral.
GGGGAAUAUUGCGCAAUGGGCGAAAGCCUGACGCAGCCAUACCGCGUGUGUGAAGAAGGCCUUCGGGUUGUAAAGCACUUUCAGUGGGGAGGAAAGGCUGGUGGCUAAUAUCCAUCGGCCGUGACGCUACCCACAAAAGAAGCACCGGCUAAUUCCGUGCCAGCAGCCGCGGUAAUACGGAAGGUGCGAGCGUUAAUCGGAAUUACUGGGCGUAAAGCGCACGUAGGUGGCUUGGUAAGUCGGAUGUGGAAGCCCCGGGCUCAACCUGGGAACUGCAUUCGAUACUGCUGAGCUAGAGUACGAAAGAGGGGGGUGGAAUUCCAGGUGUAGCGGUGAAAUGCGUAGAGAUCUGGAGGAACACCAGUGGCGAAGGCGGCCCCCUGGUUCGAUACUGACGCUGAGGUGCGAAAGCGUGGGGAGCAAAC